RNAcentral lists this long non-coding RNA (12142 nucleotides) under Mytilus galloprovincialis (Mediterranean mussel). The record is from RNAcentral. Lineage: Eukaryota; Metazoa; Mollusca; Bivalvia; Mytilida; Mytilidae.
GAAACUGAAUUGAUUAGUACGUCUCAAUAAUAAAUUGUGUACACUCUAGUUGUCGACUGGUAAUUUUCUUAAUGAUGUUUUAAGGUAGGUACUUAUAUAUCCUUUUAUAAUUUGUUUUAACUGUAUAAUUAUAUUCAUUAUCAUGCAAUGUUGAUGGCAAUAUUCUGUUAAAAGAAUUUUUUUUACAAAUUUUGCAACUGAAUAGGUUUCCCUAGAAUAACAACUUGCAUUUUGAAUUUUGUCGGGAAAGAUACAUUUUCCUACUUAUUUUACCCGUUUGUUUAUAAUUAGUUAUCAAAAGUACCAGGAUUAUAAUUUUAUAUGCCAGACGCGCGUUUCGUCUUUAUAAGACUCAUCAGUGACGCUCAGAUCAAAACAGUUAAAAAGCCAAACAAAUACAAAGUUGGAAGAGCAUUGAACAGAUAACUGGACAUUCAAACUCAUAUGCCGAAAAUAAGUUGAAAACGUCAUUGCCAUUAAAGGAAGUACACACAAUACAAUAUUAAAAACUAAAGACUGAGCAACAUCAACCCCAAUAAAAACUGGGGGUGAUCUCAGGUGCUACGGAGGUAAAAUCUAUAAGCAGAUCGUACUCCUCAUUUACAUAUGGAACGUGUCGUGUUGGUCAUGUUAAAAAACGGUUAUUAAUUUAAUUCAGUUGUUCACAUUCGGAAAAAGUGGACAGGAUUGUAGUCAAGACAUCAGGAACAAAUAAGCGAUUAUCUGUGAAACGGAUAUUCCAUAUCGUGAUGACGUCUGAUAAUCUUAUGAAGUGAUGAUUUCAACUUCACCACUUGGAACUCUUAGUUUUAAUAAAACGCGACCAGCGUCUGUGCCGAAAGUUGAUGAGUCAGGGUUAUGUAAAAAAAAGUCUCGUCCUUUUUCUAAAAAAAAAGUUCAUCGGAAGAUAUGAAGACCUUAUUGAUAAAUGUUUCGUACCACCUUCACAAAUUUAACAUGAUUUUCUUGAAGUAUAUAUGUUAGGUAGUGACGUUGUUUAUCACCCUAAUUACGUGUCAUAGUGUGUUUUAUUUGUCUUUAUGAAUCAUUAACCUUUACUAUUUCGUCUAGUCCUAAAAGACGUGACUUAGUACUCUUAGUACGAAUGUGUUGUGCUGUUGUCUUUUUUGUAUUCUUGUCAUUCGGUUUGCUUAUGUGCUAUAUAUGUAUGCCCUUUUGUUACUGAUUGUUGACUUAUAUGUUUGUUCUUAUAUUGAUAAAAAUUAUAGCACAAUGAUGACUGCUGUAUCCAUCUUUUUGACAUUUUUACCUUUUAUGUCUGUUUGUUUUGGUCACACACUGUUGUCAAUAUAAUGGAAUUGUAUGCGAUUGUCAUACAAGUGAGAGGUUUUGCUAGAUUUAAGACCAGGUAUCAUCCACCAUUUUUCUACAUAAGGAAAUGCUGGUACCAAGUCAAACGUAUGAUAAUUGGUUUCUAUUUGUUUGAUGUGUUUGGGCUUUUGAUAUGAAGAGGGACAUUCCGAUUUAAAUGUUCCGUGAAGUUCGGUACUUUUUUCAUUUGGUUAAGCUUCACCAAUAGCUAAUAUCUAGGGAAUAGUGUUAAAACAUAAUAUAUGAUACUAUCUUUUGUAAUUGAAUAUGAAAUGAAGCAUGAAACGGAUAGAAAUUAUACAAAAUAACUGAUGUGUGUUAUCGAUUUUACAUUUCUUUAGACUUGUUUAAAAAGUUUGUGUACCCAAUAUAAAUCAUUGUAUACUUCCUUGUCAAUAUGUUAAUGCUGGUUGGUUUAAAGCUGCUAUAAAAUGAAUAAAGACUUGCUUUUAUUCUCCGCUCGUAUUUCGUAUUUUGUAUUAUGUAUUAUGUAUUAUACUUUCUUUCAUGCACACCUUUAUAUUCAUAUAUAUUAUACAUCUCUUGUAAAAUUCUUAUACUGGUGUAAAAUUGUGUAUAUGUAUCCUAUAAGCUGUAUUGCUUUCGGAAUAAAGUAUUAUUACAUUUUGUCCAUUAAAUGAGUACAAUUCUUUUUUAAUGAGAUGUAAACUUUUUUGUUUUGUUUAUCAGAUAAUGUAAUUAUUUGUUAAUAUUCGAUACCAAUAAAAAAUUGUUACAUGAACGAAUGUUACAAAAGAUAAUAUAAAUUAUAUAAAUAUGAAUAAUAUUUACGGUCUAUUUUGUGCGCACUUACUUAUUGCAGUUUUAUAAAAAGAAAAUAUUAUGUGAUCACUGAGCUAUAUCAACAGUAAAUUUUGCAAUUAUACACUCUCGGUUUAUUAAUAGACUGGUACUUUGUAUAAUUAUGUAUACAUAUUGGUAUAUCAUUUGAAUAAUUGUUCUAAAAGAGGGACGAAAGAUACCAGAGGGAAAGUCAAACUCAUAAAUCGAAAAUAAACUGGCAACGCCAUGGCUAAAAAUAAAAAGGACAAACAGACAAACAAUAGUACACAUGACACAACAUCGAAAACUACAGAAUAAACAACACGAACCCCAUUAUUUCUAAUAAUUAUUACAUAAGUUAUAGAAAAACUGGUCAUUAUCGUGAUACAUGGACUACCCACAGGACAGUGGUAUUGAGUUAGACAGCUAUGAUGAUCGAGCCGUAAGUCAAAACCACUAUCAUACGGACAGUCCAUGUAUCUCGAUAAUGACAUGUUCUUCAAUAAAUAUUAUGUUUAUUUCAUAGAGGAACCAUGUUUUUAAAAAUUCUCAUAAAUUCCAAUUGUUCAAAGCUUUCUCGAGUAAAUUUAUGAUUUCUAUUAGAAAUAGUGCCGACCAGUCAUAGUGAUAACUAUAGGUCAAUGUCAUUCAUUAAAGUGUAAUUUUUCAGUAUAUGAAUACAAAAUGAAGUUUUCUAUAGUUUUGAGAUUAACGAAAUCAUUCUAAACAGAAAAACCACAGCCCACUGGUCAUUAACAGGUAAAAGACAGUUAACGAUUGGUUUUCUGGUCAGUUUUUUAUGAUUAAGAGCGAUGGAUUUAUUUACUGAAGGAUAAAGAAUGUUAAGUGGCCCCGUUGUUAUCCAAUAUGAAAAACUAGCUUUUAACCGAUAUAAAAUGAAUAACCACUAUGUAUUAUAUAUCUCUAUACAGUAUAAUCGCUAAAACUAUUGUUACGUUAAUAAACGCAUCAUUAAUAGCAGGAUUACAUUUUGUAUUUACGCCAGAUGCGUGUUUCGUUUACAAAAGACUCACUAGUGACGCUCGUAUCAAAAAAGGUUGAAAAGGCAAAAUUAGGUAAGAAGUCGAAGAGCAUUGAGGACCAACAUUCCUGAAAGUUUUGCCAAACACAGCUAAGGUAAUCUAUUCCCGAGGAAGAAAAACCUUAGUAUUUCAAAAAAUCAAAUGUUUUGUAAACAGUCAAUUAAUAAAUAUGACCAUAUCAAUGAUGAUUCAUAUCAGCACAUAAGUGCUGACUUCUGGGCUGGUGAUACCCUCAGGGAAUAAAAACUCCUUUCUUAUGACGUAAGUAAAGACAUAAAUAUUUUACAAACUCCAGAAAGAAGAAAUAAACGAAACUACAAUUCCAGUUCAACUAGGUAAACAAUUCUUAGCAUUUCGAAUAUUUCAUACUUUUACAAACAAGUAAUACAUUUGACCAUAUAAUUGAUAUACGUGACAACACCAAAGUGCUGACUACUGAGCUUGAGAUACCCUCGAGAAUAAAACGUCUUUCAGCAGUGGUAUCGACCCAUUGGUUUAAAAAGUUAUCAAAGGUACCAGGCUUAUAAUUUGAUACGCAAAUCAGAAAACAUAACAUUGAGACCGGAAAUUGGGAAUGGUUUACAUGUCGCUGAAUUUUUUUUAAUAUAAUUACUUAUAUAUUGACUGUCAUGUAUCUAUAUCUUACAUCUUAGAACUCAUAAAAGAAGUCAUGCAUUACGAUUAAAAUGGGUAUUCAAUUUAAAUUUUUAACACGUAUUAAUGCUUUUAGCUAAACACGGUUCAUACAAAGCAACAUUUUUAACGUGGGUUAUAAAAAACGUCUCCUUUCAAUAUCGAACUAAAUAGAGAAACUUGUAAGGUGUAUGUGUAGUUGAGAGUUAAUCUAUCGAGAAUGGUAAAGUAAAUUUUAAGAUUGGUUUGUAAGAAUUUCCUUAGACCUGACUUCCUGGUUGAAUCAUCCGUACUUAAAAACACUAUCGUUUAGCGAACACUAACUUUUGUUUUAUACGAACACACAUUUAUUGUACAUUAUUAUAAGUGUUAAACUGAUCAUUGUAACUGAAGUUACAACGAUCCCAAUAUGACAGAGACAGAAAUUAUUAAAAUCGUUUUCUCCUAAUAUCUCCUUGUAUACGUGUUUUUUUCAAAGAGUACUCAGGCCGCCAGUUUGAUCUGUACGGUUUUGUUGUGCGCUGUGUUUUUUUUAAAUUUAAUAUUAUAUAUGGCCUUGUUACACAAUUUAAGCCAUCGAAAAAUCAAGGAAAUUUGUUUAACAUGAUAAUCGUUACUGUAUUAUCAGAAAGUCGUAAUUUGACAUAAUUAUAAGUAUUUAUCAGUGAUCAGUAACUUUAUCUGUUGAUGGGGUUAUGACUUUAUCUAAAUCUUGCUCAACAGUUUGAUAGUGUGACCAUAUGAUCAUAACAUAUUCGCAUUGUAAUGCUAUCUGUAGCAUCUAAAAUUUUGACUGGCACUAGAUAAUUAGGAUACGUUGGUAAGGGACAAUUGUUUUUUGGAAAGGGUCCCUUCACAUCCCUUAAAGAGUUGUUGUAAGGGUUCUUAACGUGCUAGUAAUGUGGCAUUUGCUUUAUAUGAGUCACCGAUUAAACGUCCCAAUUCUGACCGGACAUGGCUGCGUAUUUAUACAUCUCGCACAGUUAAAAACGACGACCAACUUUGACAACACAAAGGAGGGUUAUACUGCCAGUCGGAUGAAUACGUAGGGUGUACAUAAUUCGAUUCCCUAGUCACCAUUGUAAUCUUUUAUCGGGGGCAGACGUAAAAAAAUAAACACAAAGAAGAAUAAGCAAUCUAGGAAAACAUCACAUGCUUCUUCAUAAAACAGAGGAGAGUGCUCACACUGAGUAUGUUUAACAUGCUACGUUCUGUAUGCGCUUGUCCUAGACAAGGAGCCUGUAAGUAGGUGUUUUUUUCUAUGAGUUCUGUACGUUUUUUAUUGUCUUUGGUGGAUAGCUGUCUGGUAACCAAUUAUAUUUGUAUGUGGUUAAUAUGUUGCAUGAUGUGACUGAUUCAUUCACUUCGGAUUAAAACGAAACAUUGGUCCGUCAAAAGACACUGUAUUUUUCAAGGUUUUUCAUUCUUUAUUCCUUGCUUCGAACCGACUGUUGUUUCAUAAAGAGCUACACGAUCAAUUCAAUUAGAGAUUAUUUAAAUCAAAUUAUAGAAUCCAUUAAAUGUAAUUUUCAACAAUGUCUGAUUUAAUAUUUACUUUGUUUUCCUUUUACAGUUGACCUGUUUCCCUUGGUUUUAGUUUGUAAACCUGAUUUGUUUUCUCUUUAUCAAUUUCUGACUUUUGAACACCGGUAUGCAUAAUAAUGUUGCUUGUAUAUAUCUUCUAAUGAAAUUGGUUAAUUUUAUUGAUAUCAUUGAUAACAAAAAAAAUCCAAUACCGUUAUAUGAAUUUCUAUUUAGCACUUAUUGUUUUCAAAACCCAUCGGAAAUAGUUUUCAUACUGAAAUUUACAAUAAUCGGUCAAUGUCAGAAAAUAUAAACUUUUUUGUAUGAGGCUGAGAAACUGUAACCAUUCCUUUUGCAGUUUAAAAUCUAGUUAAAAAAUAUUGUGACACAUCCAAAAAGUCAAUCAGAAAAUUCAUAUUUUAAAACACUUUAAUGAUCUACUCCAAAAUUUUCAAUUACAUGCAGUCGUAACAUUAUUGCAGUGAUAUCAAAACUUAUGUUUUUUACUCGUCACAAUUCUAUUCUCUUUUCUCAAUUCAUAAAUCGAAUACGUCAUCUCAUUAAAAAUAGCUUGAUCAACAUGGACAGGAACCGUAGCUUCAUAAAAAUUCUUAGUUCGCAUAUAUAUCAGUAAAUAUUAUAUAAAUGAUUGAAACUAAAUUAGGAGCUCGGCUUCAUAUUUUGAAAAUGUUCUCUUUAUAGACCUAGCUGGACAUCCUCAAAUAUGAAUGUAUGCCUAGCGUGACGAUUUGAACUUUUCAAUUGUCAAUUUCGGAUCAAAAUUGUCAUCCAAAAAGUUUAUCUUGUGCAUUUUCACAUUGUGCAUAUUUUGUUAACAGGGUUACGCCUCUAACAUAAAAAACUGCUCUAACAGAGUAAUGGGGAAAACGAUAAUACAGUUUCAUGAAAAAAAAUCACAUAAUAAAUGUGGCAAGAUUGAAAAUCUGUAAGUACCAAACCCCACUUUAAUAAGGGACAGUUGUGGACGACCAAAGAUGUCAGGACUCUUUGAAGUCCAAUCAUCUAGCUAAUGUGCUGUUUGUAAUUGUUUCGGUUUUUAAUCGUUUGGCUAACUGCAAUUGAUUUUGAUGUUUCCAAGUCAUGUGUGAUUGUUUUUUUAUUUGUUCUUCUAAAAUCGAUCGUCCCUGGUGAUUUUUUACUUCUGAAGACGACACGUGCGGCUGUAAGACAUUAGUAUUUGAGUUUUGUAGACCAUAUGAUUACUUUAUUUGCAUGUAUGAAAGUUUUUAAUUCAAAGGCUUUCUUAUUUCAAUAAAAUAUUUGUUGAUAAGGCGAAUGCAGGUUAAUAUACUUUAUGCAAGUUUCGAGGAUUCUUUAGUUUUCAAUGUUGGUUUUGUGUACUGUCGUUUGAGUUAUUGUAACCCUGUGCCAUAUAUGACCACCCAUAUGAUCCGAUUAUUGUAGCCACAACCGGGACAUCUUUUAGUCAAAUGUGAUAAACGAAUGAACAGUAUUUUUACCUACAAUGAUCAACACAACGGCAGCACGAUCUAGAACAAGAUCUGCAAACCUCUGCCAAGCACUUUUCAUACCAUACCCGAGCUUAUAUGAUGAAAUUGAUUUGUUUCUGUUUGAAUUUCGUUUUUCUGAAAUAUCAUGGUGAUUUUCGGUUUCCCUUUACUUUUCAAUAUUGUAUGUCUAUUGGUAUUUCAGCAUUCAUUUUUUGAAAACGCCUUCAAGGUGAAUAUAGGACUUACACGUGUUAUCAUAUAUUCCAAUACAAGCUUUACUUGUACACAUGUUGGUUUUUUUCUUUUUUAGUCAUGGCGUAUUAGCUUUUUAUUUCGAUCUAUUAGUUUGACUGUCCCUAUGGUAUCUUUCGUCCCUCCUUUUAAAAUGGAAGAUAUGUUAAUGACUGAACAAGAUAAAAAAAAAAAAGUUCCGCAUCAUUACCUCGAACGAACCGAUUCUGAAAUAGAAGACCGUUGCCAAUUACGUCGUGGUUUUUCUUUGCGGGUGUUAAAACAAAGUGAAAAUCUUUUUGAAACUUUUCUGCUUAUGAUCCUCAUUUUUAAAUCAAUUUCUAUCCUAUGGUUAUUUUCCAAUAUAGAACUUGUAUAGUGUCCAUUCGCUUCUGUGAAGCGUUAAAGAAAGAAAAUACUGAAAAAAGUUGUGAUAUGGUUUACCACUUUUAAUGAAAUAUGUAAACAUGUUUCCGUGAUGUGUAUGCAAAACAUUGACCACAAUAACAAUAUUUUUAUGAAAACCAGUAUGUUUGAGGUGGAAAAAUAUUUUUACAUGAAAUAAUUACUUAAACUAUGACUUUGUUUAAAUAUUCAAAGAUUUUUAUGAAAUGGCCUUUAUGUUGUAAGGAUUUUAUCAGAACAUCUCUAAACUUUUAACAUGCGGAUGAACCAAAUUGAAUUGACCGCGCCUCUAUUUUUUUGUCUUUAUCAACAACAAAUUAAUCUUAAUAAUAUUUUCAAGUUCAUCCGAUACAUUUAUUUCCAACUAGGAAAUAAACAAACGAAAAUAUCACUGAUUUAGAAGAAAACUAAAACUUUUAAACGAAAUUGAUUCAUCAAUAGAUUGGGAACCAUUUUUAAUUGUACAUUUUACAUACUAGUAUAUGUGCUUACGUAUGAAAAUGGUGUAAGUGACAAUUUAAUAUUUUUCUAUAUACUUUAAUGACACCGUUUUAUUUAAAAUACAUUGAUUCAUACACAGAUUAUUAAACUUGUUUAAAAGGCCCCUCUUUCAAAUCUCAAUCAAAAGAGCUGAACAUGUAUUGUGAAUGUCUAAUGAUGCAUACGAAAGUAAGUGAAGAAGGUUAUGUAGCCCUGAUAUUAAUUGGUUGGUACUCUAGACUAGACUUCCUGGUUAAAAACUCAUUACGUUAGACUUAACUGUUCAGCGUACAAAUUGUCAAUGAUUUCAGGUAAGCAAUAAUUCUUUUAUCAGAACAAAUGUUAGCGUAUAUCGCUAUAUUUCAAACUGUUAUGUAUAUUGUUAACACUAAUAAUUUCGGACUUUUACGUUGUUGUAUUUUUUUGUAUUUGCAUACAAAGUUUUAUACGUGCAUAGAAAUAUAGAUUUCUCAAGUUCGGAUAAUGACGUUUUUGUGGAAGUCGGGUAUAAGUUUGCCUGUAGUAAGGAUUUGGGGACAUCAGCUUUUGUAAUCAGAAAAUCUUAAUAUCCUACAAUCUAGAAGACGUCAAGUUGUUCAUUCAUUCAAUGCACUAUAUUUAUAUAUUUAAUUAACAAGUUUUUUUCAAAUCGAUCUUGAUGGCUUCAUUGGGAUUGAACUUGAAUUGAGUCAAAUAAGUUUUCUUAUGUAUCAGUUAAAACAACAUUAAAUUUAAUUUAGUCUGUUCAGCUUUAUUUCAAAAAUUUACAAUAAUUUCACUUCGGGCAAAAUAUAAAAGUACCUUGGUUAUGUUCUUGAAUUUGCUCUUAGAAAUCUCUCAAAAAGACUCCGAUAUCUGAAUGAAGUUUCAUAUGUAUUUAGAUCAGAUCUCAAUGUUACAACGCUUUCAAUUGUUGUUCUGCAUCUUGUUUGUCGAAUUUGUAUAUUAAAAAUGCGCAAAGACGAGUUUUCUCUGGCGUAUAUACAAAAUUUAGUCCUGGUAUCUAUGAUGAGUUUAUUUACAACCACUGGGUCGAUGUCACUGCUGCUGGAGAUUUAUUUCCAAGAGGGUAUCACCAGCCCAGUAGUCAACACUUUUUGUACUGAGAUGAAUUAUCAUUGAUAUGGUUAUAUUUAUAAAUUAACUGUUUACAAAAUUUUGAAUUUUUGAAAAACUAAGGCUUUUCUACCUCAGGCAUAGAUUACCUUAGCUGUAUUUGGCAUAACUUUUUGGAAUUUUGGUCCUUGAUGCUCUUCAACUUUAUACUUUAUUUGGCCUUUUUAACUUUUUUGGAUUCGAGCGUCACUGACGAGUCUUUUGUAGACGAAACGCGCGUCUGGCGUAUAUACAAAAUUUAGUCCUGGUAUCUAUGAUGAGUUUAUUUCUACGUUUAUAGUAUCUUUAUUGAUGACAUCAAACCUCGUGUAUAUCAACCGACAAUUUGUUUUCAUUUAAUUGAUUUAUGACCUUUAAAAAGAGGUAGACAUAAAGGCAACAGUAGUAUACCGAUGUUCAAAACUCAUAAAUCGAUAGAAAAAAAGAAAUCCGGGUCACAAACAAAAAACCGAGGGAAACGCAUUAAAUAUAAGAGAAUGACAACACAACAUUAAAAUGUAACACACACAGAAACGAACUAAGCAUUGGCACUCACACCACAUGUUCCUAUAUCAAUGUACAAUAUAAUCUGUGCUCAAUGCAAUUCCAAUUCAAUGGAUUACAGUGGAUUCAUUCUUCUUUGUUGAAAACCAAUUUUCGCGGAUUUCAUUAGUACUAGUACAUGUAAACCACAAAAUUAAAUGUACAACGAAAAACAAAUGUUCUAAAGGCUUGUAUGAAGACUUAGGAAAGCCACGACAUUCUAUGCAUGUAUCUUGAAAAAAUGCACGUUUUCUUUAAUCCACGACAAUUAGUACCCACGAAUAUAAAUGAAUCCACAGUAAUCAAUUGUUUACAACAGAAUUUGAUAUAUGUUACCUAUUGCAUUUGCAAUAUUUAUAGGCGGUAAUAGGACGUGUAUACGUAUCUAAAAGCGUUUAAACAAUUCACAAGACCAACAAUGUUUAGUUACCUCUAAAAUCGACUCGAUGCAAAAAUGUGAUUUCGUAGUUACGGAUGGAUCAAUUCUUUAUAAAGCAUUGUCAUAUACCAACGUAUUCUGAUAUUGUUGGAAUUUCAAAUAGUAAAAAAAGAAAGACACUUCUUUAGGCGAUAUAUUCCCUAAGGCUUUUGAAAAAAACUUUAACAGGGUUGGUUGAAUCAAUAGUUGGCUUGUCUUAUAUUAAUUACGUACGUUUAAUAGCAAAAAAAGGAAGUUAAAAGGCUCAAUCAUACCAGACAACUUAAAUUAGUAUUACUAAUAAAUUAAAACAAAGCUUUAUAAUACAACAUAAAAGUUCAGAAUGUAUUCUGAACUGAGAAAGCUAAUUAAUUGCAUGGAAUCUUACAUAACAUAAGACUAUAUUUACAUUUCAUACGCAAAAAGAACAUUUGUGAUGAAAGGCAACAGUAGUAUUGAAGAUUCGUUGAUUCGUUUUGAAGAAUAAUUACUGACAUUUUUUCUCCAUCUGCUGCCCAUAUAUUUUUUCGAGAUUCUACAGAUACAUUCAUAUCUGUUUUUAAAGUCAGUAUGGUAAAUGCAACCUGAACCUCAGCUGAUGAUUGUUUUUGGUUCUUUUAUCGGGACGAUCAUUGAAGAUUAUUUCGCUUGCAGUCGUGAUACACAUCUCGUUUUCAAAGAAAAAUAAACAAUAAAAACACUAAAAAGCAAAAUACAAUAACAAAAUAAUUCAAAGGAUACAAUGUCUUCUUUAUUUCAUACCACCCACAUCUUGUUCACGGAGAUAAAACAUCAAACGAUCUUUCAAAUUAGAAGUCCACAUUUUAACCUGUGUAUCGUUUUUCAUAAAUUUUAAGAUGAUUUUGGAAGAUUGCAAAUAUUUUUUCCAUGUCAAAAAUAAAGACUUUGUUAUUAUUUAUUGGUUAUUAUAAGAUUGUUCAUGAUGUGGCAAAUAUCGUUAGAUUUGUAAAUUCAUUAUACAUGUGAUAUCAUACUCAUGCCACCCUUACACUCUCCAUGUGUGUAUGUUAUUGUUGGAAAAUGAAUACCCUCAUAGAUUGUCGUGACAUCUUAGGCUACCUCGUUUUAUUUGUUUUUAAAAAUAGAUAAGUUAGAUAAACAUGUUACGCCAUCAGCAUUUCCUUUGGUUUUUGUCAAUGUGGGGAUACAGUCUGUGCUGCCCUUCCUCGUGUACUUGUUCAAAUCGAAGAGUCUACUGUAAUAAUCCACAACAAAUGUUUGAUUCAAUACCUACAGAUAUACCUUCAAAUACUUUAUACCUGUAAGUACUAUAUAUAUACUCAUUUUAUUAUACUCGCACAUUUCAGAAUAUUCAAUUGAUAAUCAGGGUUUUUAUUCAACAUGUAAUUUAAGUGUACAGUGAUUAAUUACAGUAAUUUCACAUAUGAAACAAAAAUCAACACGCAAUUAAUUACGAUCAUCGUAACAACCUCUCUAUAGCAAACUGAAUACAAUGUCGCAAAGUUGAGACAUCAAACAUAAGAUCAUUUGACAACACAUAUAUAAAGAAACAUUUACUAUGAUACAAUAACACAAUGACGGAAUUUUUCAAUACAGAGCCACGUCAUAUGUAACAAAAAAAUACAAAAAAGCGCAGUAGGAAAAAAGAAAAUUGGAAUACAAAAACUAUCAUAGAACAAUGACGGUAUGUAAACGUAUAAAACCAUCGCAUAUUUAGUUAAAAUGAGGGAAAUAUUCAUUAGUUUACUACAUUUCACUGUCACACAAUAGGACAGCAUUUAGUAUCUGAUUUUAUUUUUUAAAUCCUGACAUAAAUGUAAUUUAAAGUAGACAUGUAAUGAAGGGACGGAUAAUACCAGAGGGACAGUCAAACUCAUAGAUUGAAAAUAAACUGACAACGCCAUGGGUAAAAAUAAAAAGACAAACAGACAAAUAAUAGUACAGAAGACACACAAUUGAAAACUAAAAACUAAGCAAAACGAACCCUAUCAAAAACUGGGGGUGAUAUCAGGAGCUCCGGAAGGGUAAGCAGAUCCUACUCCAUAUUUGAAAACUGCAAGAAAAUAGCAUGCAAUGAUAGCCCCGGUCAAUUCUUUUAUUGGCAUUCUUAAUAAUUCUAUUUCCAGCUACUUUGAUAACCAGCUUUUACGAAAUCUAAGCUCUUUGAAUUGUAAUCAGUUUCCGGACCUACAAGAGUUGUA